CGGGGUAUAGCGCAGCUUGGUAGCGCGCUUCGUUCGGGACGAAGAGGCCGGGGGUUCAAAUCCCCCUACCCCGACCA
RNAcentral lists this transfer RNA (77 nucleotides) under Bifidobacterium sp. RNAcentral's name for it is "tRNA-Pro". It matches the Rfam family "tRNA". Rfam says of the family: Transfer RNA (tRNA) molecules are approximately 80 nucleotides in length. Their secondary structure includes four short double-helical elements and three loops (D, anti-codon, and T loops). Further hydrogen bonds mediate the characteristic L-shaped molecular structure. tRNAs have two regions of fundamental functional importance: the anti-codon, which is responsible for specific mRNA codon recognition, and the 3' end, to which the tRNAs corresponding amino acid is attached (by aminoacyl-tRNA synthetases). tRNAs cope with the degeneracy of the genetic code in two manners: having more than one tRNA (with a specific anti-codon) for a particular amino acid; and 'wobble' base-pairing, i.e. permitting non-standard base-pairing at the 3rd anti-codon position. RNAcentral also lists the same sequence under 4 other names. Lineage: Bacteria; Bacillati; Actinomycetota; Actinomycetes; Bifidobacteriales; Bifidobacteriaceae. The record is from RNAcentral.